Long non-coding RNA from Ictalurus punctatus (channel catfish), 299 nucleotides. NCBI's taxonomy places the organism in Eukaryota, Metazoa, Chordata, Actinopteri, Siluriformes, Ictaluridae. The record is from Ensembl.
GAUAGAUAUAGGGUUAUGAUAGAUUCAGGGUUAUGAUAGAUAUAGGGUUAUGAAUAGGGAUAGGUUUAUGAUAGUGAUAGGGUUAUGAUAGAUAUAGUGUUAUGAUAGAUAUAGGGUUAUGAUAGAUUCAGGGUAUGAUAGAUAUAGGGUUAUGAUAGAUAUAGGUUUAUGAUAGGGAUAGGGUUAUGAUAGAUAUAGGGUUAUGAUAGAUAUAGGGUUAUGAUAGAUUCAGGGUUAUGAUAGAUAUAGGGUUAUGAUAGGGAUAGGGUUAUGAUAGAUAUAAAGGUUAUGAUAGUGUU